GGGCCUGGCACGUGUAAGAUUAGGCCCAGUUGAAAAACAAAACAAACUGCCACGAAAAAAAUAAUAAUAAUAAACAACGGAAGUGGCAGCGAUCGGAACCCUAGAAAAAUCCGGCGAAGGGAAUAGUCGAUCAUCACUAUCAAAUUCACUGGUACUUCCCGCCCCUCCGAGCGAGCGACCUUUUUGAUCGGAAAUUUACGCAGCUGGUUUUACUCUUACGAAUUAAGGAUUGGAAAUUUUCUCCCCUCUAUCCAUUUACCCCAAUUUGUUUCAAUUUCUUCUUUGAUGUUUUGAGCUUCAGCUGUAAAAUGCUUCUGGUUUUGCGAAUUUCACUUUCUUUUCAGAUAGGGGAAGUUUAGGACUCUCAAUUGAUUCCAAAAUCGAAAAUUGAAGAUUGUACACUGAUGGAAAGCCGCGGUUAUAUCUCUCGAAGGAAUUUGAGGGAGAUGGAAGUCCUUUAGGAAACCUCUCACAAUCAUCUUGGAGUUCCCUCCUCCCCUCUUCAAUUUCUAAGAAAUGAGCAGUGGCCGGCAGCGGACCCAUGGGGUUGGGGUUCAGCAUGUUCUGGACUAUCUGAAACGAGCGCAGGCUGAGAAUCCUGCGUUUUAUUAUGCAGUUCAGGGCGACGAUGAUCACUCUGGGGGGAAUAUAUUUUGGGCGGAUUCAUCGUCUAGAAUGAAUUAUACUUACUUUGGCGACACCGUUGUACUGGAUACAACAUUUAGAACAAACCAGUUUAGGGUGCCUCUUGCUGCCUUUACAGGGUUUAAUCAUCAUGGUCAGCCAGUGUUGUUUGGAUGUGCAUUAGUUCUUUAUGAGUCUGAAUCCUCAUUCAUUUGGCUUUUCCAAACUUGGCUUCAAGCUAUGGCUGGACGCCAACCAAUUUCUAUUACCACUGACCCAGAUAGGCUUAUUCAAGUUGCUGUUGCACAGGUUCUUCCAGGAACCCGCCAUCGUUUUUGCAAGUGGGCUAUAUUCAGAGAAACACAGGAGAAGUUGUCUCAUCUCUGUCAAUCUCAUCCUACUUUUGAAACUGAAUUUAAAAAAUGUGUGAAUGAGGCUGAGACAAUUGACGAAUUUGAGUCCUGUUGGGCAUCCCUUCUGAAUAGAUAUUACAUUAUGGAUAAUGAAUGGCUUCAGUUAAUGUAUAGUGCUCGACAACAGUGGGUACCCGUUUACAUGAGAGACACUUUUUUUGGAGAAUUGUCAAUAAAUGAGAGCUAUAAAAGUUUGAAUUUGUUCUUUGAUGGAUAUGUUACUGCAUCCACCACAAUACAGAUGUUGGUUAGACAGUAUGAGAAGGCUAUGGCAAGCUGGCAUGAAAAAGAAUUAAAAGCUGAUUACGAUACAAUUAACUCGCUGCCAGUUUUGAAGACACCAUCCCCUAUGGAAAAACAAGCUGCAGAUCUAUAUACGAGGAGGAUAUUCAGGAAGUUCCAAGAGGAAUUGGUAGAAACUCUUGCCAAUCCUGCAACCAAAAUUGAUGAUACAGGAACAGUUGCCACUUACAGAGUGGCGAAAUUUGGGGAAGACCAUAAAGCACAUGCUGUUAGUUAUAAUUCGUUUGAGAUGAAAGCUAACUGCAGCUGUCAACUUUUUGAAUAUUCAGGAAUAAUUUGCAGGCAUGUAUUAGCAGUUUUUAGGGCAAAAAACGUUCUUACACUUCCUUCACAAUAUGUAUUGAAACGGUGGACCAGAAAUGCCAGAAAUGGAUCUGCAAUAGAUGACCAUAAUUCUGAAUUACCCAAUGAAUGUGGAGAUUCUACGAGUGUUAGGUAUAACAAUCUUCGCCAAGAAGCAAUCAGAUAUGUUGAGGAAGGGGCAAAGUCAAUUCAUAGUUAUAAUGUGGCUAUGGAUGCUUUAAAAGAGGCCUCUAGAAAGGUGGCUGCUGUGAAGAAUCGGAGCCCUGGAGCUUCAAAUGGCGAUAUUAUGGCCAAUGGAGGUGUUGGAGCAUUGGUUGCAACAGAAGAGGAUCAGACAGCAACCUAUCAGUCUGUGGAACAGAAGGAGAAGAAAAUUCGCGAACUGUCCACCGAGUUGGAAAAAACAAAUCAACGUUGUGAAGUGUACAGAGCAAAUCUUCUAGCUGUUCUGAGAGAUAUGGAAGAUCAGAAGUUAAAGUUAUCAGUGAAGGUCCAAAAUGCGAGGCUUAGUUUGAAAGAAUGAAUGAUCAUAUAACAUACAGGAACAAGCAAUUCCCCUCCCUAUCAUUGCCGUCCUCCUUUUGACUUAAGACCAUCCUUCCAUUGUGUUCAGCUUUUUAAUGGUCUUCCUUCUAAUGAUGGGGAACUGACAGAACGGGUGACCAAUGGCAUUGAAAGGAACGGCUGAGGGUGUCAACUGCCAUUUAGGUCCCAUGAAAGUUGAAUUAUCCUGAAGGUGAAAUCAGAAGGUAACUAGUUUUAUCUUUUCCAUUAAACUCUAGCCAAGAUUAAGGAUGAGUGAAUUUAAUCAAACACUCUAAUUCAAGACACUAAUGUCUA
RNA transcript from Momordica charantia (bitter melon), 2483 nucleotides. It is a transcript of the gene named FAR1-related sequence 9, with no coding region annotated. Lineage: Eukaryota; Viridiplantae; Streptophyta; Magnoliopsida; Cucurbitales; Cucurbitaceae. The record is from RefSeq and is a predicted model, not a curated record.